This 240-nucleotide ribosomal RNA is filed under the name uncultured bacterium. RNAcentral describes it as "partial 16S ribosomal RNA". It matches the Rfam family "Bacterial small subunit ribosomal RNA", at positions 96 to 334 of the family's 1533-position model. The record is from RNAcentral.
UGGCGAACGGGUGAGUAACGCGUGAGGAACCUGCCUCAAAGAGGGGGACAACAGUUGGAAACGACUGCUAAUACCGCAUAAGCCCACGGGUCGGCAUCGACCUGAGGGAAAAGGAGCAAUCCGCUUUGAGAUGGCCUCGCGUCCGAUUAGCUAGUUGGUGAGGUAACGGUCCACCAAGGCGACGAUCGGUAGCCGGACUGAGAGGUUGAACGGCCACAUUGGGACUGAGACACGGCCCAG